GCUCAGUAUAAAUCAACGCAGUCAGUACAGCUUUGCUUCUUUCAAUAAGGCUCAUGUUGGUUAACUUGCCAUGUCCGCCUCACAGUCAUUAACCACCCCAAGUCAUACUCCUCAUCCCAGCCCUAUUCCUUCACACACGCUUUAACAUUUCCUCACUCAUCUCAGCCACAUAUUCUGUAUCAUCCAGUUUAAUGUCCUCCAUCACUCAGCUGUGCUUUCUCAUCCACCCUAAU
Pelobates cultripes (western spadefoot toad) is the source of this 233-nucleotide non-coding RNA. NCBI's taxonomy places the organism in Eukaryota, Metazoa, Chordata, Amphibia, Anura, Pelobatidae. The record is from the annotation of a GenBank genome assembly.